GCUAGCGUUGUUCGGAAUUACUGGGCGUAAAGCGCACGUAGGCGGCUUUGUAAGUUAGAGGUGAAAGCCUGGGGCUCAACUCCAGAACUGCCUUUAAAACUGCAUCGCUUGAAUCCAGGAGAGGUGAGUGGAAUUCCGAGUGUAGAGGUGAAAUUCGUAGAUAUUCGGAAGAACACCAGUGGCGAAGGCGGCUCACUGGACUGGUAUUGACGCUGAGGUGCGAAAGCGUGGGGAGCAAACAGG
Molecule: ribosomal RNA, 243 nt
Filed under: uncultured bacterium
Lineage: Bacteria
Description: partial 16S ribosomal RNA
Rfam family: Bacterial small subunit ribosomal RNA
Source: RNAcentral